AGCAGAGAUGCUUUAGUGCCUUCGGGAACUCUGAGACAGGUGCUGCAUGGCUGUCGUCAGCUCGUGUUGUGAAAUGUUGGGUUAAGUCCCGCAACGAGCGCAACCCUUAUCCUUUGUUGCCAGCACGUAAUGGUGGGAACUCAAAGGAGACUGCCGGUGAUAAACCGGAGGAAGGUGGGGAUGACGUCAAGUCAUCAUGGCCCUUACGAGUAGGGCUACACACGUGCUACAAUGGCGCAUACAAAGAGAAGCGACCUCGCGAGAGCAAGCGGACCUCAUAAAGUGCGUCGUAGUCCGGAUUGGAGUCUGCAACUCGACUCCAUGAAGUCGGAAUCGCUAGUAAUCGUAAAUCAGAAUGUUACGGUGAAUACGUUCCCGGGCCUUGUACACACCGCCCGUCACACCAUGGGAGUGGGUUGCAAAAGAAGUAGAUAGCUUAACCUUCGGGGAGGGCGUUUACCACUUUGUGAUUCAUGACUGGGGUGAAGUCGUAACAAGGUAGGCGUAGUGCU
Molecule: ribosomal RNA, 512 nt
Filed under: uncultured bacterium
Lineage: Bacteria
Description: bacterial SSU rRNA
Rfam family: Bacterial small subunit ribosomal RNA
Source: RNAcentral